AUUGCUUCUUGGCCUUUUGGCUAAGAUCAAAUGUAGUAUCUCCUCUUAUCAGCUGAAUAUCUGAUAUGUCCUCUAUCCAAGGACAAUAAAUUAAAGGGAUUUUUGGUUGGGGAUUAGGAGUGGGAGCUUGUUCUGUCACUACACAUCAACCUGCUAUUGCAUCUCCAAAAAUGGGCCACCCAUU
RNAcentral lists this small nuclear RNA (184 nucleotides) under Catagonus wagneri (Chacoan peccary). RNAcentral describes it as "U2 spliceosomal RNA (ENSCWAG00000021787.1)". It matches the Rfam family "U2 spliceosomal RNA". From Rfam's summary of the family: U2 is a small nuclear RNA (snRNA) component of the spliceosome (involved in pre-mRNA splicing). The record is from RNAcentral. Lineage: Eukaryota; Metazoa; Chordata; Mammalia; Artiodactyla; Tayassuidae.